This 1078-nucleotide ribosomal RNA is filed under the name Halorubrum sp. RNAcentral describes it as "bacterial SSU rRNA". It matches the Rfam family "Archaeal small subunit ribosomal RNA", at positions 196 to 1272 of the family's 1478-position model. Lineage: Archaea; Methanobacteriati; Methanobacteriota; Halobacteria; Halobacteriales; Haloferacaceae. The record is from RNAcentral.
CCGGCGCCGAAGGAUGUGGCUGCGGCCGAUUAGGUAGACGGUGGGGUAACGGCCCACCGUGCCAAUAAUCGGUACGGGUCAUGAGAGUGAGAACCCGGAGACGGAAUCUGAGACAAGAUUCCGGGCCCUACGGGGCGCAGCAGGCGCGAAACCUUUACACUGCACGACAGUGCGAUAGGGGGAUCCCAAGUGCACAGGCAUAGCGCCUGUGCUUUUCGGUACCGUAAGGUGGUACCAGAAUAAGGGCUGGGCAAGACCGGUGCCAGCCGCCGCGGUAAUACCGGCAGCCCAAGUGAUGGCCGAUCUUAUUGGGCCUAAAGCGUCCGUAGCUGGCCGCGCAAGUCCAUCGGGAAAUCCACCUGCUCAACAGGUGGGCGCCCGGUAGAAACUGCGUGGCUUGGGACCGGAAGGCGCGACGGGUACGUCCGGGGUAGGAGUGAAAUCCCGUAAUCCUGGACGGACCGCCGAUGGCGAAAGCACGUCGCGAGAACGGAUCCGACAGUGAGGGACGAAAGCCAGGGUCUCGAACCGGAUUAGAUACCCGGGUAGUCCUGGCCGUAAACAAUGUCUGCUAGGUGUGGCUCCCACUACGAGUGGGUGCUGUGCCGUAGGGAAGCCGCUAAGCAGACCGCCUGGGAAGUACGUCCGCAAGGAUGAAACUUAAAGGAAUUGGCGGGGGAGCACUACAACCGGAGGAGCCUGCGGUUUAAUUGGACUCAACGCCGGACAUCUCACCAGCAUCGACUGUAAUAAUGACGACCAGGUUGAUGACCUUGUCCGAGUUUCAGAGAGGAGGUGCAUGGCCGCCGUCAGCUCGUACCGUGAGGCGUCCUGUUAAGUCAGGCAACGAGCGAGACCCGCACCCUUACUUGCCAGCAGUACCGCGAGGUAGCUGGGGACAGUAGGGGGACCGCCGUGGCUAACACGGAGGAAGGAACGGGCAACGGUAGGUCAGUAUGCCCCGAAUGUGCUGGGCAACACGCGGGCUACAAUGGUCGAGACAAAGGGUUCCAACUCCGAAAGGAGACGGUAAUCUCAGAAACUCGAUCGUAGUUCGGAUUGUGGGCUGCAACUCGCC